This 414-nucleotide ribosomal RNA is filed under the name Triticum aestivum (bread wheat). RNAcentral's name for it is "partial small subunit ribosomal RNA". The record is from RNAcentral. Lineage: Eukaryota; Viridiplantae; Streptophyta; Magnoliopsida; Poales; Poaceae.
AUGACCGUGACGUUGCAGGAUAUUGCUAUGAUCACCGGUCUUCCUAACGAUGGCAAUCCUUUAUGUAUGAACACCGAUUCAGAUGGGUGGCGCGCGCAGAUGCAUGCCCUUAUUGGUAUGGUUCCUCCGGAGCCUCGGGAACCAGAAGCAGAAGAUAAGAAGAAGGAAAGAGUCGCAGCGGGCGCUACUUUCACGUGGAUAUCAUCGAACUUCAGUCAUUGCCCUGAGGAUGCUAAUGAGGACAUGGUGAAGACAUAUGCUCGUGUCUACAUGUGGUACGUGAUAUCCAGGACAAUGUUUGCUGAUGGCACAGGCAAGAAUGCUCCAUGGAUGUGGCUGAAGGCGUUGACCGUCUUCGAUAGCAAAUGGAGUUGGGGUUCGGCGACACUGGCUUACUUGUAUCGACAGGUAUGA